CGCGGCGCAGGCGUCGGUCGUGCAUCUCUCGUGGGAGCGCGCCGGCGUCUUGGGCGUCGUGCGGCGGCCGUACUUUCGGCGGGCGGAGCGCCACGACCGGUUCGCCGGCGGCGAGAAACUCCCGGGCAAGGUGACCCUCGCUUCGGCGUCGGAGCAUACAGGCUCGGUGAGCGCAGGCCCGUCGGCGGACCGAGGAAGACCGUCGCGGUGCGGCGUCGACCGCCCGUCCUCGGCGCGCGUUCGACUGGGGGGGACUGGUUCCAGUGCCCUCCGACCGCGUGCGUCUAGCGGCGGGACGGCCCGGCGUCGCGCCUGGGGUCGGUGGCGAAACGGCCGGCAACCUGUCCGACCCGUCUUGAAACACGGACCAAGGAGUCUAACAUGUGCGCGAGUCGUUGGGCGCUACGAAACCCGAAGGCGAAAUGAAAGUGAAGGCCCGGUCUCCGGCCGGCCUAGGUGGGAUCCGGACGGUCGAGGCCGUCCGGCGCACCACCGGCCCGUCUCGUUCGCCGCGUCGAAGAGGCGGAGCAAGAGCGUACACGUUGGGACCCGAAAGAUGGUGAACUAUGCCUGAGUAGGACGAAGCCAGAGGAAACUCU
This 599-nucleotide ribosomal RNA is filed under the name Carpetania elisae. RNAcentral describes it as "eukaryotic LSU rRNA". The stretch from base 367 to 599 matches the Rfam family "Eukaryotic large subunit ribosomal RNA", at positions 665 to 865 of the family's 3401-position model. The record is from RNAcentral. Lineage: Eukaryota; Metazoa; Annelida; Clitellata; Crassiclitellata; Hormogastridae.